Molecule: ribosomal RNA, 484 nt
Filed under: uncultured bacterium
Lineage: Bacteria
Description: partial 16S ribosomal RNA
Rfam family: Bacterial small subunit ribosomal RNA
Source: RNAcentral
AUUGAACGCUGGCGGCAGGCCUAACACAUGCAAGUCGAGCGGAUGAAGGGAGCUUGCUCCUGGAUUCAGCGGCGGACGGGUGAGUAAUGCCUAGGACUCUGCCUGGUAGUGGGGGAUAACGUCCGGAAACGGGCGCUAAUACCGCAUACGUCCUGAGGGAGAAAGUGGGGGAUCUUCGGACCUCACGCUAUCAGAUGAGCCUAGGUCGGAUUAGCUAGUUGGUGGGGUAAAGGCCUACCAAGGCGACGAUCCGUAACUGGUCUGAGAGGAUGAUCAGUCACACUGGAACUGAGACACGGUCCAGACUCCUACGGGAGGCAGCAGUGGGGAAUAUUGGACAAUGGGCGAAAGCCUGAUCCAGCCAUGCCGCGUGUGUGAAGAAGGUCUUCGGAUUGUAAAGCACUUUAAGUUGGGAGGAAGGGCAGUAAGUUAAUACCUUGCUGUUUUGACGUUACCAACAGAAUAAGCACCGGCUAACUUCGUG